RNAcentral lists this ribosomal RNA (468 nucleotides) under uncultured bacterium. RNAcentral describes it as "partial 16S ribosomal RNA". It matches the Rfam family "Bacterial small subunit ribosomal RNA", at positions 28 to 507 of the family's 1533-position model. The record is from RNAcentral.
GACGAACGCUGGCGGCGGGCUUAACACAUGCAAGUCGAGCGGAAAGGGCCUGCUUUUGUGUGGUUCUCGCGUGGCGAGCGUGUGUGUAACCCGUGAGUAUCCUUCCCAUUACUUUAUGAUAUCUUCAGGCGACUGCUGCUACUACCUGCUACCAGCUCCUGCUGCAUGGUGGUCUUUGGACCUUUUCGGCGGUUGGGGAUGUACUCGCGGCUUAUCAGCUUGUUGGUGGGGUAGUGGCUUACCAAGGCAUUGACGGGUAGCCGGCCUGAGAGGGUGACCGGCCACAUUGGGACUGAGAGAGGGCCCAGAGGCCGAAGGGAGGAAGAAGUGGGGAAUAUUGAACAAGGGGCGGAAGCCUGAUGAAGAAACUCCGCGUGAGGGAUGACGGCCUUAGGGUUGGAAACCGCUUUCGCCUGUGAAGAAGCGUGAGUGAAGGUAAUGAGUAAAGAAGCACCGGCUAACUACGUG